GCCUGCCUCUGCUGCCACUUGCUUUUGGAAUUGGUUGCAUCAGACUGGCUUGGGUUUGGGUGUUUAGAAACAGGUUUAAUUACGUACCCCAGACUAGCGUCCAGCUCUGGCUUCUCCUGCCUCAGCCGCUCACAUGCUGCGAUUACACGCCUAGCUUGCUGUUGUAAACAUUGUUUCUCUUUCUCCAGAACUCUUUAAACCAAAACAGCCACACUUCUUUCUUUAGCUAUUGAGAAACAUCCAGGAGAUGAGAGCAUUCAAUCUCACCAUUUAGCAUUGAGAGCACAAGACGCCAGAGACGAUCAGAAUCUCCAGAUUCCAGGAAGAGGCGCAUCCAUAGAUGUGACUUCGAGGGGUGCAACAAAGUAUACACAAAAAGUUCUCACCUGAAGGCACACCGGAGAACACAUACAGAGAAUGGGGAUGGAGCAAAAACCAGUUCUCUGAUCCCAAGAGACCACUCUAGGCUGUGCAGGCACAGCCUCUUAAAACGACAGUCAAGUGGCAUUAUUGUCAAAUAGAAAAAUAAAAAGAAUAAAAUUUGGUUAACUUGUUGU
Molecule: long non-coding RNA, 557 nt
Filed under: Rattus norvegicus (Norway rat)
Lineage: Eukaryota; Metazoa; Chordata; Mammalia; Rodentia; Muridae
Description: long non-coding RNA NONRATT011145
Source: RNAcentral